This 247-nucleotide unclassified non-coding RNA is filed under the name Hevea brasiliensis (rubber tree). Lineage: Eukaryota; Viridiplantae; Streptophyta; Magnoliopsida; Malpighiales; Euphorbiaceae. The record is from RNAcentral.
GCGGGGACGGAUGAUGCAGAAGAGAAGGUUGAUGCUGCUCAAGCUUAAGUCAUCCGCAUCCAUUGUUGUCUUUUCCAACUUGCUUGGGGUAGUUAAAAUUUUAAUCUUUUGUGUCUUUUUGCGCCCUUUCUUUUUCUGAGAUUGUCAUUUAUAUUGGUUUUGAAUUCCGGCAAGCAUAAUAUGACACAUUGCUCGAGUAACUUUCACUUGUUAAAACGUUUUGCUAGCACAGCUGGUUAUGCUAUCA